GGGCUUCACACGUCAUACAAUGGUACAUACAGAGCGCCAACCCGAGGGGGAGCUAAUCGCAGAAAGUGUAUCGUAGUCCGGAUUGUAGUCUGCAACUCGACUGCAUGAAGUUGGAAUCGCUAGUAAUCGCGGAUCAGCAUGUCGCGGUGAAUACGUUCCCGGGUCUUGUACACACCGCCCGUCACACCAUGGGAGCGGGUUUUACCAGAAGUAGGUAGCUUAACCGCAAGGAGGGCGCUUACCACGGUAGGAUUCGUGACUGGGGUGAAGUCGUAACAAGGUAACC
Molecule: ribosomal RNA, 286 nt
Filed under: Zoogloea sp. arc21
Lineage: Bacteria; Pseudomonadati; Pseudomonadota; Betaproteobacteria; Rhodocyclales; Zoogloeaceae
Description: partial 16S ribosomal RNA
Rfam family: Bacterial small subunit ribosomal RNA
Source: RNAcentral